This 570-nucleotide long non-coding RNA is filed under the name Numida meleagris (helmeted guineafowl). Its description in RNAcentral is "lncRNA (ENSNMEG00000021047.1)". Lineage: Eukaryota; Metazoa; Chordata; Aves; Galliformes; Numididae. The record is from RNAcentral.
AUUAUGUGGAGGUGGUGAGGCCCAGAUGGGUAGGAGCUCAUCCUCGGUGUGGUCAACAUGACGCUUUCUCAGGAAAAGGAUCUUGUUACGGAACUUAGAUUUGUGAUUGCAGCACUUGCACGUCAAGGCUCAAUCCACCUGAAGAGUCAUUGCAGGAAUGUUUCUUUCUUUAAAGAUGAUAUUUAUGUAUGAAAAACGCAGAGCUAAUGUCCAGAUAUUAAGCGUGACUUUCCAGCUGACAGAAGGAGAGAGCCAGUAAUAAAAUUCAUGCUUACAUGGUUCAGGAUUAAUCAAGGGGAGAGCUAAGGAGCAGUCUCGGAGGUGCAUCCUGCUGAGAUGUGGAGGAUGAAUGUUUGCACCGACCUCUGCUGCACGAAGAUGAGAGCCAGCAGCUGGAUCUCCAUAUGGAGGAUUGAAGUUUUUGCAUUAAAGAAGGAAAUCUUUCCAGCAACUCUUUUGGCAGGUUUCAUUGCUUCAGUCUACUUUGAAAACAAGGUCUUUGGAACAUCCUUUGGAACAAAACAAAUUUCAGCAGUGAACAUUGGUCAAGUGGAGCAGAACGUAAUUUAG